RNAcentral lists this ribosomal RNA (465 nucleotides) under uncultured bacterium. RNAcentral describes it as "partial 16S ribosomal RNA". It matches the Rfam family "Bacterial small subunit ribosomal RNA", at positions 338 to 795 of the family's 1533-position model. The record is from RNAcentral.
CCUACGGGUGGCAGCAGUAGGGAAUCUUCCGCAAUGGGCGAAAGCCUGACGGAGCAACGCCGCGUGAAUGAUGAAGGUCUUCGGAUCGUAAAACUCUGUUAUUAGGGAAGUACAAAUGUGCAAGUAACUAUUCACGUCUUUACGGUAUCUAAUCAGAAAGCCACGGCUAACUACGUGCCAGCAGCCGCGGUAAUACGUAGGUGGCAAGCGUUAUCCGGAUUUAUUGGGCGUAAAGGGCGCGGAGACGGUUUUUUAAGUCUGAUGUGAAAGCCGACGGCUCAACCGUAGAAGUGCAUUUGAAACUGGCAGACUUGAGUGCAGAUGAGGAAAGUGGAAGUCCAUGUGUAGCGGUGAAAUGCGUAGAGAUAUCGAAGAACACCAGUGGCGAAGGCGGCUUUCUAGUCUGUCACUGACACUGAUGCGCGAAAGCGUGGGUAUCAAACAGGAUUAGAUACCCCUGUAGUC